GCCGGGAUGGCGAAAUGGCAAACGCUGCGGUCUUAAAAACCGCUGGGGUUACCCCCUUACGGGUUCGAGUCCCGUUCCCGGCACCA
RNAcentral lists this transfer RNA (86 nucleotides) under Candidatus Altimarinota bacterium. RNAcentral describes it as "tRNA-Leu". It matches the Rfam family "tRNA". From Rfam's summary of the family: Transfer RNA (tRNA) molecules are approximately 80 nucleotides in length. Their secondary structure includes four short double-helical elements and three loops (D, anti-codon, and T loops). Further hydrogen bonds mediate the characteristic L-shaped molecular structure. tRNAs have two regions of fundamental functional importance: the anti-codon, which is responsible for specific mRNA codon recognition, and the 3' end, to which the tRNAs corresponding amino acid is attached (by aminoacyl-tRNA synthetases). tRNAs cope with the degeneracy of the genetic code in two manners: having more than one tRNA (with a specific anti-codon) for a particular amino acid; and 'wobble' base-pairing, i.e. permitting non-standard base-pairing at the 3rd anti-codon position. Lineage: Bacteria; Candidatus Altimarinota. The record is from RNAcentral.